AAGCAUUGUCUGACCUCUCAGACAACUGAGGCAAGAUAUUCUUCUUGUCUCCCUUGUGUAAAAUAGCAAUCUCACUAAGAAGAGGAAACUUAGAUCCAAAUAAACAAAAAUAUAUUCGGAUGAUCAUUGUGUGAAGCCUCAGGAGAAAGAUUAAAAAAAAACUUGUCUCCCAUAAUUUGUUUGCUAUAUAUAGAGUAAAUGCCAACCCUUAAACUCAAGGCCCAAGAGUUCAGAAUACACAAAACUAUAUCCUAUUGCCUCCUAGCCUUUUGUUUUCUGAAAAGAGAAUAUGGAAAUCAGUGUAACAAAUGUGAGGAACAUCUGCAAAUAUUGAAGGACUCGGAAGCCACUUAUUCAAUAUCAUCAUCAUCUUCACUACACCACAAACUUGAUUAUGAUAAGUUGCUUCAGUUGCCAAUCAAACAACAAGCCUUAGCACGAGAAUGCAGUGACAAUUGCAUUCUAGAAGGGUCUCUUAGGCUGUUAGAUAUCUGCAGUACAACUAAAGAAUGACUACCGAUAUCAAAGGAAAUAAUGCAAGAACUUCACUCAGUCAUCAGAAGAAGGAAAGGUGAUGAAACUGGUGGAAAAUACUUGGCUUCAAGAAACAAGUUGAAGAAGACAAUCAAAAUGACCUUGAGAAAUUUGAAAGGGGUAAAAAGUGAGUCCCCAGUUUUCCCACAAAAAAGGUGCCUUCUCCAUGCUAUGUGUCUUAACAGAAGCAGAAGAAGUCACAACGAGAUCAUUAUAAUCUUUGUUAUUGUUUAUUUUUUACACAAAGGAACAACACAAGCAGAGCAGGUGGUCAGCAAUCUCAAAACUGAUGCAGCCUACAAGAGUGGCUUCUGACUCUAAAGAAUAGACUACAGAUGAAUAUGAGAAGGUGGAUGCACUGGUGCAGUGUUUCCUUAGUCACAAGCCUUCUCCUAUUGAGUGUUUUCUAAGUCAUAUUGAAAAUUUGGAGAUGUGCGUUCAGGAUCUAGAAAUAGGAAUUGAACACCUCUCAAGAAAACUACUUAGGAACAGAGUUUUCCUUCUCAAUAUCUUCAACCGCUAAUCAUACAACAUUUAUGUGAUUUUUGUGAACUAAAUUUUUACCCCAUGAGUUCUGUCUUCCAUCUGUACAUUAAUGUCAAUUAAGUCUUGUUUGUUCGGCAGAACAUGUGUUAACUAAGGAUCAAAUUAUAGUUACUUCACUUUCUCUCUUUUUCC
This 1212-nucleotide long non-coding RNA is filed under the name Phaseolus vulgaris (common bean). Its description in RNAcentral is "long non-coding RNA (PVUL_LNC001022)". Lineage: Eukaryota; Viridiplantae; Streptophyta; Magnoliopsida; Fabales; Fabaceae. The record is from RNAcentral.